GAUGAACGCCGGCGGUAUGCCUAACACAUGCAAGUCGUACGAGAGUUUUUUAACUCUAGUGGCGGACGGGUGAGUAACACGUGAGAAUUUGCCUUUAGGAGGGGGACAACAAUUGGAAACGAAUGCUAAUACCCCAUAUGCUUUCGAGUGAAAUGGAUUUUAUCCGCCUAGAGAGAAGCUCGCGGCUGAUUAGCUUGUUGGUAAGGUAAGAGCUUACCAAGGCGACGAUCAGUAUCUGGUUUGAGAGGACGAUCAGACACACUGGAACUGAGACACGGUCCAGACUCCUACGGGAGGCAGCAGUGGGGAAUUUUCCGCAAUGGGCGAAAGCCUGACGGAGCAAUACCGCGUGAGGGAAGAAUGCCUAUGGGUUGUAAACCUCUUUUUCAGGGAGGAAUAAAAUGACGUGUACCUGAAGAAUAAGCAUCGGCUAACUCCGUG
This 441-nucleotide ribosomal RNA is filed under the name uncultured bacterium. RNAcentral's name for it is "bacterial SSU rRNA". It matches the Rfam family "Bacterial small subunit ribosomal RNA", at positions 28 to 507 of the family's 1533-position model. The record is from RNAcentral.